This 59-nucleotide small nuclear RNA is filed under the name Bos indicus (zebu cattle). RNAcentral also lists the same sequence under 3 other names. Lineage: Eukaryota; Metazoa; Chordata; Mammalia; Artiodactyla; Bovidae. The record is from RNAcentral.
GUGCUCGCUUCAGCAGCACAUAUACUAAAACUGGAACGAUACAGAGAAGAUUAGCAUGG